UACGGGGGGGGCAAGCGUUGUUCGGAAUUACUGGGCGUAAAGGGCUCGUAGGUGGCCAACUAAGUCAGACGUGAAACCCCUCGGCUUAACCGGGGAACUGCGUCUGAUACUGGAUGGCUUGAGUUUGGGAGAGGGAUGCGGAAUUCCAGGUGUAGCGGUGAAAUGCGUAGAUAUCUGGAGGAACACCGGUGGCGAAGGCGGCAUCCUGGACCAACACUGACACUGAGGAGCGAAAGCCAGGGGAGCAAACGGG
RNAcentral lists this ribosomal RNA (253 nucleotides) under uncultured bacterium. RNAcentral describes it as "partial 16S ribosomal RNA". It matches the Rfam family "Bacterial small subunit ribosomal RNA", at positions 524 to 776 of the family's 1533-position model. The record is from RNAcentral.